GUUCCCGUAGCGGAGUGGUUACCGCGUGACUCUUAUAAAAUCAGGAUGCUUUUGGUUUUAUGGUUAGACAUGUCAAGGUCCGGGGUUCGACCCCCCGCGGGAACA
Molecule: non-coding RNA, 105 nt
Organism: Hirsutella rhossiliensis
Lineage: Eukaryota; Fungi; Ascomycota; Sordariomycetes; Hypocreales; Ophiocordycipitaceae
Source: the annotation of a RefSeq genome assembly